GGGGAGACCAUGUCCUGGCGGAACGUGAGUAUAAAUUUCUUUUGGUAGUGCUCUGAGCAAAUGUGUUUCAGAUGUGCUCUGUCUGUCAUGUUUUUAGCAAUACCUUCAUUUAAAUAUGUGCAUGUUUGUUAGGAGUAGUGUAUAUAAAUUUCCUGUGACAUUUAGAAUUGUGCUACAUAUACGAUUAGCAACAGAGAUAGUGAUUUCCUGCUAAUUUCUGGUGAUAUUUGCUUUGGGGAUUUACAGAAAUAAAAUGAUUCCCUAUUAUUGACUCGUGAAAGCUUUGCACACUUUAUUUUUACUAUUUGGUAUGUGUGGAUUAUUUACUCAUAGCUAAACAUGCAUUGCUAAAAAUCAUCCAAGCUAUUGCAUUUUGAAAGCUGCUUUUCCUCUUUUCUUUUGCUGAUGCUGCACCAAUGUUGGUUAUUUUUCUGGACAUGAUAUCCUAUCAUGGGGGAUGGCUUUUUAGAAACUAUUUUAAACUAAAUUUAGAUAAUUUACUGGGUUAUAUCUGCUUGUUCUAAAAACUUUUGGCUGGGAUGAUGAACAGACAAGUGCCUGUCCUUUGUAAGUAUUUCAUCUUCAGUAUAUAUUCUCAUGAGAUGCAUAUUGGACCAGAUUGCGAGUGGUGCCAUUGUUUGA
RNAcentral lists this unclassified non-coding RNA (642 nucleotides) under Hevea brasiliensis (rubber tree). The record is from RNAcentral. Lineage: Eukaryota; Viridiplantae; Streptophyta; Magnoliopsida; Malpighiales; Euphorbiaceae.